AACACGUGGGCAACCUGCCUGUAAGUUGGGGAUAACUCCGGGAAACCGGGGCUAAUACCGAAUGAUAAAGUGUGGCGCAUGCCACGCUUUUGAAAGAUGGUUUCGGCUAUCGCUUACAGAUGGGCCCGCGGUGCAUUAGCUAGUUGGUAGGGUAAUGGCCUACCAAGGCAACGAUGCAUAGCCGACCUGAGAGGGUGAUCGGCCACACUGGGACUGAGACACGGCCCAGACUCCUACGGGAGGCAGCAGUAGGGAAUCUUCCGCAAUGGACGAAAGUCUGACGGAGCAACGCCGCGUGUAUGAAGAAGGUUUUCGGAUCGUAAAGUACUGUUGUUAGAGAAGAACAAGGAUAAGAGUAACUGCUUGUCCCUUGACGGUAUCUAACCAGAAAGCCACGGCUAACUACGUGCCAGCAGCCGCGGUAAUACGUAGGUGGCAAGCGUUGUCCGGAUUUAUUGGGCGUAAAGCGCGCGCAGGCGGUCUUUUAAGUCUGAUGUGAAAGCCCCCGGCUUAACCGGGGAGGGUCAUUGGAAACUGGAAGACUGGAGUGCAGAAGAGGAGAGUGGAAUUCCACGUGUAGCGGUGAAAUGCGUAGAUAUGUGGAGGAACACCAGUGGC
This 618-nucleotide ribosomal RNA is filed under the name Listeria monocytogenes. Its description in RNAcentral is "bacterial SSU rRNA". It matches the Rfam family "Bacterial small subunit ribosomal RNA", at positions 112 to 716 of the family's 1533-position model. Lineage: Bacteria; Bacillati; Bacillota; Bacilli; Caryophanales; Listeriaceae. The record is from RNAcentral.